GCGUGAUUGACGGAAUUGGCAUACGUAUCAGCCUUAGAAGUUGAGUUUUGUGGGUUCGACUCCCACAUCACGCA
Molecule: transfer RNA, 74 nt
Filed under: Salmonella phage S124
Lineage: Duplodnaviria; Heunggongvirae; Uroviricota; Caudoviricetes; Demerecviridae
Rfam family: tRNA
About the family: Transfer RNA (tRNA) molecules are approximately 80 nucleotides in length.
Source: Rfam by way of RNAcentral